AUUGAACGCCGGCGGCAGGCUUAACACAUGCAAGUCGAGCGGGGGAAGGUAGCUUGCUACCGGACCUAGCGGCGGACGGGUGAGUAAUGCUUAGGAAUCUGCCUAUUAGUGGGGGACAACAUCUCGAAAGGGAUGCUAAUACCGCAUACGUCCUAGGGGAGAAAGCAGGGGAUCCUCGGACCUUGCGCUAAUAGAUGAGCCUAAGUCGGAUUAGCUAGUUGGUGGGGUAAGGGCCUACCAAGGCGACGAUCUGUAGCGGGUCUGAGAGGAUGAUCCGCCACACUGGGACUGAGACACGGCCCAGACUCCUACGGGAGGCAGCAGUGGGGAAUAUUGGACAAUGGGGGGAACCCUGAUCCAGCCAUGCCGCGUGUGUGAAGAAGGCCUUAUGGUUGUAAAGCACUUUAAGCGAGGAGGAGGCUACUCUAGUUAAUACCUAGGGAUAGUGGACGUUACUCGCAGAAUAAGCACCGGCUAACUCUGUGCCAGCCGCCGCAGUAA
This 501-nucleotide ribosomal RNA is filed under the name uncultured bacterium. RNAcentral describes it as "partial 16S ribosomal RNA". It matches the Rfam family "Bacterial small subunit ribosomal RNA", at positions 30 to 523 of the family's 1533-position model. The record is from RNAcentral.